Molecule: ribosomal RNA, 240 nt
Filed under: uncultured bacterium
Lineage: Bacteria
Description: partial 16S ribosomal RNA
Rfam family: Bacterial small subunit ribosomal RNA
Source: RNAcentral
AGCGUUAUCCGGAUUCACUGGGUUUAAAGGGUGCGUAGGUGGAUUAGUAAGUCAGUGGUGAAAUCUCCGGGCUUAACCCGGAAACUGCCAUUGAUACUAUUAGUCUUGAAUACCGUGGAGGUCAGCGGAAUAUGUCAUGUAGCGGUGAAAUGCUUAGAUAUGACAUAGAACACCAAUUGCGAAGGCAGCUGGCUACACGAGCAUUGACACUCAGGCACGAAAGCGUGGGGAUCAAACAGG